RNAcentral lists this small RNA (90 nucleotides) under Flavobacterium sp. 316. RNAcentral describes it as "Flavo-1 RNA". It matches the Rfam family "Flavo-1 RNA". The record is from Rfam by way of RNAcentral. Lineage: Bacteria; Pseudomonadati; Bacteroidota; Flavobacteriia; Flavobacteriales; Flavobacteriaceae.
UUUUAGCCCCGAUUGUAGCGAUAUCCUUUUGAUUUGUUUUUGUUAAAUAAUAGAGCCAAUCAAAAGAUAAAGCAGAAAGCGGGAAAAUGG